Molecule: long non-coding RNA, 641 nt
Filed under: Nicotiana benthamiana
Lineage: Eukaryota; Viridiplantae; Streptophyta; Magnoliopsida; Solanales; Solanaceae
Description: long non-coding RNA (NBEN_LNC028623)
Source: RNAcentral
AUUGGAUAAAUGCAGAGAGCCCACUAAGUACAUAUUGUUUAAUUAGAACUCCAUGAAUAGAAGUUUUUAUUGAAAAACAGUUUCAUUUGCAAAAGUGAUCCACAAAUAGAUUAUGAAGAACAAAAUUUUCCAAAUUCAACUUAAAUUGAAAGCUAACUAUGAUGGCAGAUCUACUAUUAUAUGCAUUUCAGCACCAAGCCAAAACAUGAUGUACUUUUAACAGGCUAUAACACAAGGAAAUAUUUCCUUUUUGCAAUUGGGAUGAUGGCCUCAUAAUCUCAUAUUUGUUUACAGGGACUGAUGACAAUGUACACCAGAGUUAAGAUUUGUAUGAAUAUGAAGUGUUGAAUUCCAAAUAUAAGCGCAUUUCAUGAUUUAACAAAUAAAUGCUUUGCCUGCAUUUCUUUAAUGUUUGGGAAAUUAAAAUUGAAUGACACAAACAGCAUAUGAACAUAGAAAUUGGAAGUAUCUAGGGCUAAAGAUUGAAGGAGACAUUUAAAUACUCCUUGGACAUGUCACUAGCAAUUUAGCUUUAUAAAGAUUGAAGGAGACAUUUUAAAUACUCCUUGGACAUGUCUAGCAGUUCCGCUUUAAGAAUAUGUGCCUAGUAGUACCAGAAGCAGCAGCUCCACAGACCACGC